CCUCACCAAAUCCCGGAGGGUUCCUGUGAAUGGCUGUGUACCGGCGGGAUGGAACACAAACACACCCUUUGCCAGACAAACACCAGGGAAACAGCGGUGGCUUUACCCCCACAUAUUGCCUCAGCUGCCUCAUGAGAACAGAGAACCUAAUUAAUUGUACUGCAUGCUCAAUCCACUUGAACGUAAUAUUUAGAGAAUGUGAACUCAUCAAGCGGCUAUAGAUUAUCCCUGCUCCAGUAUGCCGAUGUAAGCCGUUCGCAAUCCAGAGAAGAGGACUGGGUCGAUAAGGAAUGCUACAGUCCAGGCAUCAUUAUUGGCUUGGGUGACAGAAUACCAAAGACGGGUCCCUGGACUUUCCUCCUUCACGGCUUCCACUACCAGCUUAACCCAACAACUUCCUCCUCCUUUCACCCUCUUUCUCACAUCAAUGCAUCCUCAACGUUCAAUACUUCCCUAAUACAAUAAAAAUGUUAAUCACA
This is a long non-coding RNA of Perca fluviatilis (European perch), 479 nucleotides long. RefSeq lists it as uncharacterized. Lineage: Eukaryota; Metazoa; Chordata; Actinopteri; Perciformes; Percidae. The record is from RefSeq and is a predicted model, not a curated record. The transcript has 2 exons.